CCCGACGAGCCCCGGGCGAAGGAGGAGGGGGAAGGGGGGGGGGGGGGGCACGGGGCGAGAGAAGCCUGCUGGGAAUCGCGGGGCGAGGGGGGGGGGCUCCGCGCGGCGGGCGGGGGGGGUGGAAGGGUGAGGGGAGGGGAGGGGGGUGAGGUCGGGGUUAGGAGGGGGGGGGGAUUAGUGGCCGGCUGGGCCAGCGUAUACGGGGUGUACCCGUCAGAGGGAGGCCCCGGGUGACUAGGGGGCCAGCAGCGACCGGUAAUAGGUAGGGGGGCAAGCGUUGUCCGGAUUUAGUGGGGUGUAAAGGGCCCGCAGCGGGGAAUGGAAAGUCAGUGGUGAAAUCCUACAGGGUAAGCUGUAGAACUGCCUUUGAUACUUUUAUUCUUGAGUUCGGGAGAGAGAGACGGAAUUCCAGGUGUAGUGGUGAAAUACGUAGAUAUCUGGAAGAACACCAGUUGCGAAGGCGGUCUCUUGGUCCGAUACUGACGCUGAGGCGCGAAAGCGUGGGGAGCAAACAGGAUUAGAUACCCUGGUAGUCCACGCUGUAAACGAUGAAUACUAGGUGUUGGGUUUUAUUACUCAGUGCCGCAGCUAACGCAUUAAGCAUUCCACCUGGGGAGUACGAUCGCAAGAUUAAAACUCGAAGGAAUUGACGGGG
This 655-nucleotide ribosomal RNA is filed under the name uncultured bacterium. Its description in RNAcentral is "partial 16S ribosomal RNA". The stretch from base 173 to 655 matches the Rfam family "Bacterial small subunit ribosomal RNA", at positions 1 to 918 of the family's 1533-position model. The record is from RNAcentral.